AUGGCCAACCACCUCCGCUACAACAUCUACGACCUCGACCUCAGCCACGUGCAGAACACAACGCUGCAGUGGCUGCUCCUCACCAUGUCCGACAAGUCCAUCCUUGUCAUCGAGGACAUCGACUGCUGCUGCGAUGCCAUGUUAAGGGAGGUGGACAGCAAGGAGAGGAAGACGCCGGCGAGGACUUGCAAAGAAGACGGCGGCGGCUCAUCAGAAACUUCGGACGGUACGCCGUCGCCCAAGCUCAAAUCGGAGAUCACGCUCUCGGGGCUGCUCAACUUCAUCGACGGGCUGUGGUCGACCAGUGGCGAGGAGCGCCUCAUCGUCUUCACCACCAAUUACAAGGACCGGCUUGACCCGGCGCUGCUGCGGCCGGGGCGCAUGGACAUGCACGUCUACAUGGGCUACUGCUGCUGGGAGGCAUUCAAGACUCUGGCCCGGAACUACUUCCUCGUCGACGACCACCCCCUCUUCCCGGAGAUACAGGAACUGCUUAUGGCGGUGCAGGUGACGCCGGCCGAGGUGUCCGAGAUGCUGCUGAGGACCAAUGAGCCUGACGUCGCGCUCCGGGGUCUCACGGAGUUCCUCAUAGAGAAGAAGCAGGGACAGAGCAAGAUGGAGGAAGUGCAUGAAGAGAACUAA
This 642-nucleotide ribosomal RNA is filed under the name Triticum aestivum (bread wheat). RNAcentral's name for it is "partial small subunit ribosomal RNA". Lineage: Eukaryota; Viridiplantae; Streptophyta; Magnoliopsida; Poales; Poaceae. The record is from RNAcentral.